AUUUAUAUAGUAUAAAUAAAAUUACAAUUAAUUUCCAAUUAAAAAAUUUAAUAUUAAAUUAAUAUAAAUA
This 70-nucleotide transfer RNA is filed under the name Brachymyrmex patagonicus. RNAcentral's name for it is "tRNA-Gly". Lineage: Eukaryota; Metazoa; Arthropoda; Insecta; Hymenoptera; Formicidae. The record is from RNAcentral.